UUAGAGGAAGUAAAAGUCGUAACAAGGUUUCCGUAGGUGAACCUGCGGAAGGAUCAUUACCGAGUACGGGUCCCUAUCCCCUUGCCGGGGGGUAGGGGCCCAGACCUCCCACCCGUGUCGAUUGUACCGUGUUGCUUCGGUGGGCCCGCCAACUAUGGCCGCCGGGGGGCUUGCGAGCGCUGCCCCCGGGCCCGUGCCCGCCGGAGACCUCUCCCGAAAUGCUACUGUGGUCAGGAAUGCUGUCUGAGUGGUGAGAAAUUGAUCAAAAAACUUUCAACAAUGGAUCUCUUGGUUCCGGCAUCGAUGAAGAACGCAGCGAAAUGCGAUAAGUAAUGCGAAUUGCAGAAUUCCGUGAGUCAUCGAAUCUUUGAACGCACAUUGCGCCCCCCGGUUUCCCGGGGGGCAUGCCUGUCCGAGCGUCAUUGCCAUCCCCUCAAGCUCUGCUUGGCUUGUUGGGCCGGCGUCCGCCCGUGGCUCCUGUCGCGGGGGGACGGGCCCGAAAGGCAGUGGCGGCUCCCGGAGGGUUGGUCCUUUGGGCGGUGAUACAUGGGUCUUUUCUUCCACCGUCCCGCUGGCCACGCCCCGAGAGCCUGUCGAACGAUUGGUCUUCCCCUUUAGGUUGACCUCGGAUCAGGUAGGGAUACCCGCUGAACUUAAGCAUAUCAAUAA
Molecule: ribosomal RNA, 669 nt
Filed under: Elaphomyces decipiens
Lineage: Eukaryota; Fungi; Ascomycota; Eurotiomycetes; Eurotiales; Elaphomycetaceae
Description: eukaryotic LSU rRNA
Rfam family: 5.8S ribosomal RNA (bases 269-422)
Source: RNAcentral